UACAGAGGCCACAAGCGUUAAUCGGAAUCACUGGGCUUAAAGGGUGCGUAGGCGGGUUCGUAAGUGCUAUGUGAAAGCCCUCGGCUCAACCGGGGAACUGCAUGGCAUACUGCGAAUCUCGAGGAAUCUAGAGGCCGGCGGAACGAUAGGUGGAGCGGUGGAAUGCGUAGAGAUCUAUCGGAACGCCAAAGGUGAAGACAGCCGGCUGGGGAUUUCCUGACGCUGAGGCACGAAAGCGUGGGGAGCAAACAGG
This 253-nucleotide ribosomal RNA is filed under the name uncultured bacterium. Its description in RNAcentral is "partial 16S ribosomal RNA". It matches the Rfam family "Bacterial small subunit ribosomal RNA", at positions 524 to 776 of the family's 1533-position model. The record is from RNAcentral.